UACGUAGGCAGCGAGCGUUGUUCGGAAUUACUGGGCGUAAAGAGUGUGUAGGCGGUGUUCCCAGUCUGUUGUGAAAUCUCCCGGCUUAACUGGGAGGGUGCAGCGGAAACUAGAAUGCUAGAGGGUGGGAGAGGUAAGCGGAAUUCCUGGUGUAGCGGUGAAAUGCGUAGAUAUCAGGAGGAAGACCAGUGGCGAAGGCGGAUCUCUGGACAAAUCCUGACGCUGAGGCGCGAAGGCUAGGGGAGCAAACGGG
This 253-nucleotide ribosomal RNA is filed under the name uncultured bacterium. Its description in RNAcentral is "partial 16S ribosomal RNA". It matches the Rfam family "Bacterial small subunit ribosomal RNA", at positions 524 to 776 of the family's 1533-position model. The record is from RNAcentral.